Molecule: ribosomal RNA, 353 nt
Filed under: uncultured eukaryote
Lineage: Eukaryota
Description: partial 18S ribosomal RNA
Source: RNAcentral
UAAGAGUAUAUAUUAAUGUUGUUGUGGUUAAAACGUUCGUAGUUUAAUUAAGAGGGGAGAUAUGCAACUCGUUGGUGUCUGAGCCAAUUAAGAUAGGCUUCACAAUGAAGCAGAUUUUAUGGUCUCUUUGUAGAUGGCAUUGCGUCCAUUCGGGCAUCAGCUUCGGCUAGACAUUGGGCAGCUAAACACAAAGUGUGAAGCUAAACCUUUGAAUGGUGAGUUCUGUAUUUCCUCUUGUAACGCGGUUGUGAACAAAUCCAAAUGCUUAAAGUAGAUUGAAUAAUGACCUUCCUUGUGUUGGUCAUUCUUGUCUGAAAGAUAUAGCAUGAUACCGCAAAAAGUUGACUUCUUUU